UGGUGGAGUGAUUUGUCUGGUUAAUUCCGAUAACGAACGAGAUCCUAACCAUUUAACUAGCUAAAGUCACUACGGUGGCUUCAAUGCUUCUUAGGGGAACAAUGCGGAAUACCUACCGCAGGGAAGUGGGGCCAUAACA
RNAcentral lists this ribosomal RNA (139 nucleotides) under uncultured eukaryote. Its description in RNAcentral is "partial 18S ribosomal RNA". It matches the Rfam family "Eukaryotic small subunit ribosomal RNA", at positions 1299 to 1458 of the family's 1831-position model. The record is from RNAcentral.